RNAcentral lists this unclassified non-coding RNA (240 nucleotides) under soil metagenome. Its description in RNAcentral is "partial contains 5.8S ribosomal RNA, internal transcribed spacer 2, and large subunit ribosomal RNA". The record is from RNAcentral.
AACUGAUACUACCUGCGGGAACCUGCGGAGGGAUCAUUGCUGAAUAUACUACUUGAUGGGUUGUAGCUGGCCUCUAGGGGCAUGUGCACGCCUGUCUUGCUUCUAUUCAUCCACCUGUGCACUCUUUGUAGUCUUCAAAGUCUGAAAAAGCAAAGCCAAAUUGUCAGUUGAAAGACUGGAUUUAGAGGAUUGUCUUAAUAUGACUUUCCUUAGCAUUAGGCCGCUCAUCUUCUUUGAAGU